CCUACGGGUGGCAGCAGUCGAGAAUCAUUCACAAUGGGGGAAACCCUGAUGGUGCGACGCCGCGUGGGGGAAUGAAGGUCUUCGGAUUGUAAACCCCUGUCAUGUGGGAGCAAAUUAAAAAGAUAGUACCACACGAGGAAGAGACGGCUAACUCUGUGCCAGCAGCCGCGGUAAUACAGAGGUCUCAAGCGUUGUUCGGAAUCACUGGGCGUAAAGCGUGCGUAGGCUGUUUCGUAAGGCGUGUGUGAAAGGCGCGGGCUCAACCCGCGGACGGCACAUGAUACUGCGAGACUAGAGUAAUGGAGGGGGAAGCGGAAUUCUCGGUGUAGCAGUGAAAUGCGUAGAUAUCGAGAGGAACACUCGUGGCGAAGGCGGGUUCCUGGACAUUAACUGACGCUGAGGCACGAAGGCCAGGGGAGCGAAAGGGAUUAGAUACCCUGGUAGUC
Molecule: ribosomal RNA, 446 nt
Filed under: uncultured bacterium
Lineage: Bacteria
Description: partial 16S ribosomal RNA
Rfam family: Bacterial small subunit ribosomal RNA
Source: RNAcentral